GGCCUGUAGCUCAGCUUGGUUAGAGCGCACGCCUGAUAAGCGUGAGGUCGAUAGUUCAAGUCUAUCCAGGCCCACCAU
RNAcentral lists this transfer RNA (78 nucleotides) under uncultured Alphaproteobacteria bacterium. RNAcentral describes it as "tRNA-Ile". It matches the Rfam family "tRNA". From Rfam's summary of the family: Transfer RNA (tRNA) molecules are approximately 80 nucleotides in length. Their secondary structure includes four short double-helical elements and three loops (D, anti-codon, and T loops). The record is from RNAcentral. Lineage: Bacteria; Pseudomonadati; Pseudomonadota; Alphaproteobacteria.